GCCUGAUCACUGUUUCUGAACAAAAUGCAUUAUUUUAACAGUUUUAAGUGAUCCUGUCAAAAGGCGAGAGUAUGAUGAGAAGGGAGUCUGUGUAGUCGAAGACUAUAAUGCUAUUGAAUACCUGAACCGAUACAAGGGCCUGAUAUUAACAUGCAAUGGCCUUGGCAUUAGAUAUCCAAUAUGGUGAAUCAACUGCAAGCGGUGGAACAAUACUGGAGAAGAUACGAGACUUAUCAUGUGAUUUCUCGACCAAGUGCGGUACAUUUCUCUAGUGGAUCAUAUAAAACGGCAAGCAUACGAUAAGAUGCAUGUAAAAUUUUCAAUGUCGUCUCAGUUGUUGCUGAAGGCUGAUGACAAACAGACUUUUGUGUCCUUGGCAUGCAGACUUGAUUGUUUGGGCAGGUUGGGACCAAUCAAGAAA
Musa acuminata subsp. malaccensis (wild Malaysian banana) is the source of this 421-nucleotide non-coding RNA. The record is from RefSeq and is a predicted model, not a curated record. Lineage: Eukaryota; Viridiplantae; Streptophyta; Magnoliopsida; Zingiberales; Musaceae.